CGUGGAGACAGGUGGUGCAUGGCUGUCGUCAGCUCGUGUCGUGAGAUGUUGGGUUAAGUCCCGCAACGAGCGCAACCCUUAUCCUUAGUUGCCAUCAAUUCAGUUGGGCACUUUAAGGAGACUGCCGGUGUCAAACCGGAGGAAGGUGGGGAUGACGUCAAGUCCUCAUGGCCUUUAUGCCCAGGGCUACACACGUGCUACAAUGGACGGCACAAAGGGCAGCGACGCCGCGAGGUGUAGCAAAUCCCAAAAAACCGUUCUCAGUUCGGAUCGGAGUCUGCAACUCGACUCCGUGAAGUUGGAAUCGCUAGUAAUCGUGGAUCAGCAUGCCACGGUGAAUACGUUCCCGGGCCUUGUACACACCGCCCGUCACACCACGAAAGUCUGCUGUACUCGAAGUCGCUGAG
RNAcentral lists this ribosomal RNA (407 nucleotides) under uncultured Methylomirabilota bacterium. RNAcentral's name for it is "bacterial SSU rRNA". It matches the Rfam family "Bacterial small subunit ribosomal RNA", at positions 1027 to 1434 of the family's 1533-position model. The record is from RNAcentral. Lineage: Bacteria; Methylomirabilota (SeqCode).